GUGGUGACCUUGUCCCCCUUCUCAUGUC
Molecule: non-coding RNA, 28 nt
Filed under: Homo sapiens (human)
Lineage: Eukaryota; Metazoa; Chordata; Mammalia; Primates; Hominidae
Source: RNAcentral